RNAcentral lists this unclassified non-coding RNA (412 nucleotides) under soil metagenome. RNAcentral describes it as "partial contains 5.8S ribosomal RNA, internal transcribed spacer 2, and large subunit ribosomal RNA". The stretch from base 1 to 122 matches the Rfam family "5.8S ribosomal RNA", at positions 35 to 154 of the family's 154-position model. The record is from RNAcentral.
GAUGAAGAACGUAGCGAAAUGCGAUACUUGGUGUGAAUUGCAGAAUCCCGUGAACCAUCGAGUCUUUGAACGCAAGUUGCGCCCGAAGCCGUCAGGCCGAGGGCACGCCUGCCUGGGCGUCACACGCCGUUGCCUCCCCGCGCCCCGCACCCAACUCUUUGGGAGCGACCGCGGGGCGGGCUGAUGAUGGCCUCCCGUGCGCUCCGCCGCGCGGUUGGCCCAAAUACCGAGUCCCCGGCGACGUGCGCCACGACGAUCGGUGGUUGAGAGACCUCUGUCGCAAGUCGUGCGCGCCCGUCGCGUCACGCGGGCUCGCAUAGCGCCUCGCGCCGCACCCGGUGCGGAGCUUUCAACGCGACCCCAGGUCAGGCGGGGUUACCCGCUGAAUUUAAGCAUAUCAAUAAGCGGAGGA